Molecule: non-coding RNA, 72 nt
Organism: Phrynosoma platyrhinos (Desert horned lizard)
Lineage: Eukaryota; Metazoa; Chordata; Lepidosauria; Squamata; Phrynosomatidae
Source: the annotation of a GenBank genome assembly
GCAAGUGUGGCAUAGUGGUUUGAGCAUUGGCUUAUGACUCUAGAGACCAAGGUUCAAUUCCCUGCUCAGCCA